Long non-coding RNA from Equus asinus (donkey), 2124 nucleotides. NCBI's taxonomy places the organism in Eukaryota, Metazoa, Chordata, Mammalia, Perissodactyla, Equidae. The record is from Ensembl.
GAACUGGCCGCCAGGUUAGGGGAGGGGGGUGGAGUUUCUCACAUUUCAGUCGCCUUGAGGCCCCCCCAUUCUGAAUCCGGGGCUGGGGUUAGUAGCCAAGGGGACAGACAAGGCUCCACCCUCAGCCCACUUUCUCUGAGCUUUCUAGGUCUUGCUUCUCACCACUCCUGGUAGUAUUUCCACCCCAGGUUUUAACUACUAGCACUUCCAUAAAAACAGCUGAAACCACUCUUUUGGGAGAACGCGCCCGUGAGGCCUCUCACCCCAACUAAACUGGUUCCCUGCUUCGUCCACACCUCCUGGGGAUGUGAUGCACCCCCUCAUCCUUGUCAACUCAGCCCCCGCGUCUCCGAGGGGUGUUCCUGUGCUGGCUUCAAAAACCAGCUGGCCACAUGGCGGGAGGGAGAUUUUCUGGCCCCGGGAGGUCUUCUGAACCUGGGAUUUGAGGCAUGCAUGAAACGACACCCGCCACUCGAACAUCACUAGAAGACGUCUGCUCUCCGUUUUGCCAGCGAAUUCCACCACUCCAGACUGACACCGGGGAGAAGAGGCGCGAAAUGGGGAGGGGAAACGCCCUAGGCAAUUUCUCAAACUCUGCAAAUCCGCCCAGGGAGGCCCGGGUGUCUGGGUAUGGGAGAAGGGGGUCUAGGGGUCUCUGCAGAUCUGAGGGAGGGGGUAAUGACUAGUUAUUACUAGUUUAGGAAGGGAGCGGCUGCUGCACUAGCGCCCCCGCGCCGGGCCUCGGGCCCCAAAUCCCGCGAGUGGUCGCCCAGCUCGGGCCCCGCCACCCAGCGCGCGCUGCGCCGCACCCUGCCCUGGGCAAGGGGCAGCGACCGGGAACCCGGGCCUGGUCGCGGCGCCGGGAGCUCGGACACGCCCGGCGUUUUCGAUCUCGAUGCUCAAGCAGGGCCCCAUCACCGCUGCAGCGUCUUGGGACCUCCCGUCCGCAUCCCCGGGACUGGGUGUCGUUAAAGGAAACGCCUAGGAGGAGAACUAGGAGGGAGCAGUAGGUAAACGUCCGGGUUCGACCGGCUGGAUGGUGCGAGAGAGCAACAAGUCGCUUGGAAAGUGGGUAAGAGGCUCCACUGCGAGCUGCUUCCUGCCUGCGGCGGAGCGGGACGUGCGCGCAGAGAACUCAGAGACAGGAACUGAGAAGGCUAAAGAGAGACUAACUCGGUCCCUUGGGCAAGGAGAUAAAAGGAAGGUCCGGUACCCAAAAGGGACGUGCUCCAGGAGGAGAAAGACGUGUGGGUCCCAAGGCCCAAGUUCUAGGGAAGUGUGAUGCAGAUUUGAACCAAUUACACCUGAGAGGAGAGCAUGAUAAUAACUCUGGGAAGCACGGGUCCCUUCACUCUCGACUGAAGCUGAAAUGAAGACAUGGCGAGAGCCUAUCAGAUGUGAAAAAAUGUUAAAAAUCGGUAACAUCCAACGUCGUUUUUCAGCCUCUCAGUUUCUUCCACUUAUAAACCAGCCGGCGCCUCAAGGAGGGGAGGAGCUCAGCGGGUCCGCCUCACCGCCAUGCAUGUCUCUCUCCCUGGAAUCUUGGCCGCUCAGCACCUGGACUGUCCGGGGAGCUCUUUGUUGCCUUCAGGCAGAUCGGUGAGCGAACUGUGGCAGAGCUGAGGUUACCUAAGUAAGCGGUAGAGCUGGGAGUUCUCCAUGCCCGCCACUCUAUACAGAGUCGAGUGCUCAAUUUGCCACUGGAGAAGGAGACCCUGGAGAAUGCCUGGCAUUUAGACUGUGCCUCUCAUGGGUUACCCUCAAGAGAGGCACUAGUCAGGCUCACUUGCAUGAUGGUGGCCAAAGGGCCUUAACUUGAAACCUGGGAAAGACCGGACAGAACUAGGACCAGGAGGGAGAGGUGAAAACCGGCACCCAGGUGUGGUGGGCACCUGAAUGCCCGAAGCCCUCCCGCUGAGAAGGUGGGGUAGUUCCUGUGUCUCUUAAGGCAAGUGUUGAACCUGAACCUGCUGGACCAGGUACAGGAUGGCAGGUCUUAGAGACGAAGCACGGAAAAUGAUGGGGUCUCCCUUUAAGAGGAGGAAGGAAGAGUCUUAACAGAGGCAGCCAUGGAACUCGGGUUUCAGUGACAGUCAGGGCGUUCUUUGGGUCAAAAUUUUAGUG